GGCAUGCUGACCAGACUGACCUUUGAGGAAGAUAAUUCCUAUUUGUGUAUCAUUUAUUUACUCUUUUCUAUAUCAUCUAUACUUAUUUGCAGUCUGCAAAGUCACUAUUAGAGAGAUGACACCAUGCUGCCUGGUUCCAAGGAAGUUCCAAAAAUACCUUCUCUUCAGGGGGAAUAAAACAAAUAACCCCUACCUCAGGGCUGCCUACACUGACA
Molecule: long non-coding RNA, 215 nt
Organism: Oxyura jamaicensis (ruddy duck)
Lineage: Eukaryota; Metazoa; Chordata; Aves; Anseriformes; Anatidae
Exons: 3
Source: RefSeq, a predicted model, not a curated record